Molecule: ribosomal RNA, 235 nt
Filed under: uncultured bacterium
Lineage: Bacteria
Description: partial 16S ribosomal RNA
Rfam family: Bacterial small subunit ribosomal RNA
Source: RNAcentral
GAUCAUGGCUCAGGACGAACGCUGGCGGCGUGCCUAACACAUGCAAGUCGAGCGGGGAUUAUCGGAUGAAGUUUUCGGAUGGAUUCUGGUAAUUCCAGCGGCGGACGGGUGAGUAACGCGUGAGCAACCUGCCUUUCACAGGGGGAGUAACGCAUCGAAAGGUGCACUAAUACCGCAUGAGACCACGCUCCCGACAUGAGAGAGGGGUCAAAGGAGCAAUCCGGUGAGAGAUGGG